Molecule: long non-coding RNA, 908 nt
Organism: Arachis stenosperma
Lineage: Eukaryota; Viridiplantae; Streptophyta; Magnoliopsida; Fabales; Fabaceae
Exons: 5
Source: RefSeq, a predicted model, not a curated record
UUCUGAAGCUCCUUCGUUUCUUUCUCCCUUUCUCCCUUUUCUUUCAUUCACAGAAACUCAGCCAAAAAACCCUAACACUGUAAGCCUACACCACCGCCGCCGCAAGGAGUGGCAUACUGCUGCCGCCCGUCCGUCUAUCUAGCUUCCCUCGUGCUCCAAGUCUUCAACCCCCGUUCGCUGUCACCGAUCGCAGCUGCUUCCUCGAGCUCGGCGUCCGUUGUCUUUGUCUGCUCAGCCGCGCUUCCGCCGCCGUUGGUUGCCGUUAACGUUCGCGUCUUCGUUCAGCCGUCAUCUUCGUUCGCGUUCUUCGCCGUUCAAGUUUGCUCGGCGUUCACCGUUCGCGUUCACUCGCCGUUCACCGUUCGCGUUCACGUUCGUCUGGAAGCCACGUUGCCCUGCUUCAAACUCUGCGACCAACCCGUGUGCUCCACCUAGCCGUCGAACUGCUCUCUUUUGUCGCCGCCGUAUUCUUGAUAGAGGUAUUCAGCUUAAUGGUCUUGGCAUGAAGAGCUUCAUGACUUAUGAAAGCAAUGUACUUUUUGCCCUUCGCUUCAUGAUUGAUUGCAAUAUAGCUGGUGGUAAUUGGAUUGAAAUUCCUACUGGAAAAUAUAAGAAGACAGCAAGAAGCUUGUCUAACUGUCAGUUAGAGUUUGAUUGCUUCGGUUAGAGUUGACCCUGAUAUUAUAAUUGGAUAUAACAUCUGCAAAUUUGACCUGCCAUAUCUUAUUGAGAGAGCUCAAGCCUUGAAAAUAGCAGAAUUUCCUAUUCUGGGCCGUAUCAGGAACAGUAGGGUCCGAGUAAAGGAUACAACUUUUUCAUCUAGACAGUAUGGAACCAGAGAAAGUAAAGAAGUUGCUGUAGAAGGGAGAGUUCAGUUUGAUCUGCUCCAGGUUAUGCAAAGAGACUAC